AUGCCUCUCACUUUCGGCAGCGGGACCACACUGACCGUCCAGCCCAAGGACGCGAGCCAGAAGAUGCCCACCCUGUCCAUCCUCCAGUCGACGAGUAAGGAGCAGCCGCACGUGUGUCUGGCGGCAGGAUUCUACCCCAAGGGUCAGGAGAUGAAGCUCAUGGAGGACGUCGGAGAAGCGAACAAGAGUUCCAAGUCCAUCACGGUGGACAAGGCGCCCCUGGACACCAGCAGCAAGUCCUACUUCUUUGCUGGCUUCAUGGACAAGGGGAAGAGCCUGAGGGAGUGUGAGCUCAUGGGCCAGAAAGAACAGCUGGAGGAAGAGACUAAACCGACCGCCCAGGCGCCGAGUCCAGAGGAGUGCGAACCCGCCUCUGUCAAUGACACCCUGUCCCAAGGGCGUUCCGGCGACACACUCGAACACAUGAAGGUGAACUUCCGCUCACUGCUGGUCCACGGACUCAGGCUGCUGUUGGCCAAGGUCGUGACCUUUGACAUGAUGGUCACGGUCAAGGCCAUGUUCUUCUAGCCGCAGCAGGAGACGCCACGACACUCCACCCGAGGAGCUCCAGCGUGUCCAGCGUGUCCAGCAUGUCCAGCGCGUCCAGAACGUCCAGCCUCAGCAUUUCUGCUGGACGGAGCCGGAGCCGGAGCCGGAGCCGGAGCACAGGACAGGCGUCCCUCACAGCUUCUUCAUAGGAACUGCGGCUGCUGCUUCUGCCAAAGUGUGUGUUACCGCAGUGCAGCAAAAAAUAGUGUAAAACACUGUAAAUAGAGUAGUGAACACAGCAGCCCUGCAGUUUGCAUUCGGUGUUGAUGACCGAGCUGAAGCCACACGUGUUUUUCUGUGUUUGUGUCCUUCUGCUAAGAGCGAUUUCAUUGAUCUGCCAGCUUAAUAAAGACGACCUUUUUACGCA
Molecule: long non-coding RNA, 916 nt
Filed under: Scleropages formosus (Asian bonytongue)
Lineage: Eukaryota; Metazoa; Chordata; Actinopteri; Osteoglossiformes; Osteoglossidae
Description: lncRNA (ENSSFOG00015026777.1)
Source: RNAcentral